GACGGAGGGUGCUAGCGUUGUUCGGAAUACUGGGCGUAAAGGGCGCGUAGGCGGCCUUGCAAGUCGGUUGGUGAAAGCCCGGGGCUCAACCCCGGAGGUGCGGCCGAGACUGCAGGGCUGGAGGCCGGAAGAGGAGGGUGGAAUACCCAGUGUAGAGGUGAAAUUCGUAGAUAUUGGGUGGAACACCGGUGGCGAAAGCGGCUCUCUGGUCCGGACCUGACGCUGAGGCGCGAAAGCGUGGGGAGCAAACAGG
Molecule: ribosomal RNA, 253 nt
Filed under: uncultured bacterium
Lineage: Bacteria
Description: partial 16S ribosomal RNA
Rfam family: Bacterial small subunit ribosomal RNA
Source: RNAcentral